AUGCAAGUCGAACGAACAUCUCGGAUGUUAGUGGCGAACGGGUGAAUAACACGUAAGUAACCAACCCAUUAGACGAGGAUAACUACUGGAAACGGUAGCUAAUACUGGAUGGGACGAAAGUUUUAAAGAUCCUUUAAAGGAUUACUAAUGGAUGGGCUUUGCGGCGCAUUAGCUAGUUGGUGGGGUAAGGGCCUACCAAGGCAGCGAUGCGUAGCCGACCUGAGAGGGUGACCGGCCACACUGGGACUGAGACACGGCCCAGACUCCUACGGGAGGCAGCAGUAGGGAAUCUUCGGCAAUGGACGAAAGUCUGACCGAGCAAUGCCGCGUGAGUGAAGAAGGUCUUCGGAUCGUAAAGCUCUGUUAUUAGGGAAGAAAAGAAUAAGAGGAAAUGCUUAUUUUGUGACGGUACCUAAUGAGAAAGCCACGGCUAACUACGUGCCAGCCGCAGC
This 452-nucleotide ribosomal RNA is filed under the name uncultured bacterium. Its description in RNAcentral is "bacterial SSU rRNA". It matches the Rfam family "Bacterial small subunit ribosomal RNA", at positions 55 to 518 of the family's 1533-position model. The record is from RNAcentral.